Molecule: ribosomal RNA, 497 nt
Filed under: uncultured bacterium
Lineage: Bacteria
Description: partial 16S ribosomal RNA
Rfam family: Bacterial small subunit ribosomal RNA
Source: RNAcentral
GAUGAACGCUGGCGGCGUGCCUAAUACAUGCAAGUCGAACGGAAGGACGCUAAGCUUGCUUCUCUGAUGUUAGCGGCGGACGGGUGAGUCACGCGUGGAUACCCUACCUAUCAGUCUGGGAUAACUUCGAGACACCGGCUAUAAUACCGGAUAAUCUUUUGCACCGCAGUGUUCAAAAGUGAGUGUCGGUCUUUCUGUCUCUUAUAGAUGCAUCCGCGCUGCAUUAGCUAGUUGGUACGGUAACGGCUUAUCAAGGCAACGAUGCAUAUCCGACCUGCGAGGGUGAUAGGCCACACGGGAACUGAGACACGGUCAAGACUCCUACGGGAGGCAGCAGUAGGGAAUCUUCGGCAAUGGGCGAAAGCCUGACGGAGCAACGCCGCGUGAGUUAUGAAGGUCUUCGGAUCGUAAAGCUCUGUUAUUAGGGAAGAACAUAUGUGGAAGUAACUGUGCACAUCUUGACGGUACCUAAUCAGAAAGCCACGGCUAACUACGUG